UGCAUUAGCUAGUUGGUAAGGUAACGGCUUACCAAGGCAACGAUGCAUAGCCGACCUGAGAGGGUGAUCGGCCACACUGGAACUGAGACACGGUCCAGACUCCUACGGGAGGCAGCAGUAGGGAAUCUUCCGCAAUGGGCGAAAGCCUGACGGAGCAACGCCGCGUGAGUGAUGAAGGUCUUCGGAUCGUAAAACUCUGUUAUUAGGGAAGAACAUAUGUGUAAGUAACUGUGCACAUCUUGACGGUACCUAAUCAGAAAGCCACGGCUAACUACGUGCCAGCAGCCGCGGUAAUACGUAGGUGGCAAGCGUUAUCCGGAAUUAUUGGGCGUAAAGCGCGCGUAGGCGGUUUUUUAAGUCUGAUGUGAAAGCCCACGGCUCAACCGUGGAGGGUCAUUGGAAACUGGAAAACUUGAGUGCAGAAGAGGAAAGUGGAAUUCCAUGUGUAGCGGUGAAAUGCGCAGAGAUAUGGAGGAACACCAGUGGCGAAGGC
This 493-nucleotide ribosomal RNA is filed under the name Staphylococcus aureus. RNAcentral describes it as "bacterial SSU rRNA". It matches the Rfam family "Bacterial small subunit ribosomal RNA", at positions 237 to 722 of the family's 1533-position model. Lineage: Bacteria; Bacillati; Bacillota; Bacilli; Caryophanales; Staphylococcaceae. The record is from RNAcentral.